GACGAACGCUGGCGGCGUGCCUAAUACAUGCAAGUAGAACGCACAGUUUAUACCGUAGCUUGCUACACCAUAGACUGUGAGUUGCGAACGGGUGAGUAACGCGUAGGUAACCUGCCUGGUAGCGGGGGAUAACUAUUGGAAACGACAGCUAAUACCGCAUAAUAUUGAUUAUUGCAUGAUAAUUGAUUGAAAGAUGCUAUUGCAUCACUACCAGAUGGACCUGCGUUGUAUUAGCUAGUAGGUGAGGUAACGGCUCACCUAGGCGACGAUACAUAGCCGACCUGAGAGGGUGAUCGGCCACACUGGGACUGAGACACGGCCCAGACUCCUACGGGAGGCAGCAGUAGGGAAUCUUCGGCAAUGGACGAAAGUCUGACCGAGCAACGCCGCGUGAGUGAAGAAGGUUUUCGGAUCGUAAAGCUCUGUUGUAAGAGAAGAACGGGUGUGAGAGUGGAAAGUUCACACUGUGACGGUAUCUUACCAGAAAGGGACGGCUAACUACGUG
This 505-nucleotide ribosomal RNA is filed under the name uncultured bacterium. RNAcentral describes it as "partial 16S ribosomal RNA". It matches the Rfam family "Bacterial small subunit ribosomal RNA", at positions 28 to 507 of the family's 1533-position model. The record is from RNAcentral.